This 239-nucleotide unclassified non-coding RNA is filed under the name Hevea brasiliensis (rubber tree). The record is from RNAcentral. Lineage: Eukaryota; Viridiplantae; Streptophyta; Magnoliopsida; Malpighiales; Euphorbiaceae.
GGGAGGUGAAGCAAAGGUUGAAGAUGCUAGUAUGUCACCAUUGAAUGCCAUAGAUAGCAUAUCUGAGUCUCACUCAUCCUCAGCAUUCCAUGGGUCACCACCCCAUUAUCAAGAGGAUAUUCUUCACCGUCGACAUAAUUUCAUGGAAGAGAUUUUGCAAUUAUCUGCAGAGUCAUAUUCAGUUCCUUCCUCUGACAGCUAUUCCAGCAAUAGCGAGGAUGAUAUCUUUCCCUUUGGAC